AUUGGUGACGCGCCCACGCGCGAGUGCGCGGUGCUCGCUUCCGCCGCUAUGGCCCCGGUUCCGCUCCGGACUCUGAGCCGGGUUGAGUGCUCUGUGACCCGGGCCCGGCUCCUACAGAUCCAGCUCCCGCACGGGGAGCUCCAGACCCCGGUUUUUAUGCCGGUCGGAACCCAGGGAACCCUCAAAGGCAUCGCCGUCCCACAGCUCGAGGCCCUCGGCUGCCGGAUCCUCCUCGGAAACACGUACCACCUGGGGACUCGCCCGGGGCCAGAACUUAUUUCAAAGGCCAAUGGACUGCACGGUUUUAUGAACUGGAAGAGGGCACUCCUAACAGACAGUGGUGGGUUUCAGAUGGUGUCUUUGGUGGAAUUGGCUGAAGUAACAGAAGAAGGGGUACGAUUCUGUUCUCCUUACGAUGGGAAGCAAAUUCUUCUGUCACCUGAAAAAUCAAUUGAAAUACAGAAUGCUCUUGGUUCAGACAUCAUGAUGCAGUUGGAUGACGUAGUGAGCAGCACAGUGUCUGGGCCGAGAGUUGAAGAGGCCAUGUACAGGUCUGUUCGCUGGUUGGAUCGCUGCAUUGCAGCAAACAAGAACCCUCAGCAACAGAAUCUGUUUGCUAUUAUUCAGGGCGGCCUGGAUGCUGAACUGCGUAAGAAAUGUCUGAUAGAGAUGAUUAAGCGUGAUGUCUCUGGAUUUGCCAUUGGUGGACUUAGUGGUGGGGAAGAGAAGGAUCAUUUCUGGAGAAUGGUGACACUCAGUACAGAAUAUCUCCCACGAGAGAAGCCACGUUACCUGAUGGGAGUGGGAUAUGCAACAGAUCUCGUGGUGUGUGUGGCUUUGGGUUGUGACAUGUUUGACUGUGUGUUUCCCACACGGACAGCGCGAUUUGGGUCUGCACUUGUUCCUUGGGGAUCCCUGCAACUGAAAAACAGGCAAUAUGCCAAGGAUUUCAAACCCAUCGAUGAGGAUUGUGACUGUCCUACAUGUAAGAGGUACACUCGAGCAUAUCUACAUGCCCUGUUCAGGAGUGACACUGCUGCCCUCCAUCACAUCACCAUCCACAACAUUGCCUACCAGUUGAACCUGAUGUACUCAAUCCGUGAGAGUAUUCAGCAAGGACGAUUUCCAGUCUUCAUUCAGCAGUUCAUGAAGCGGAUGUAUGGGAGUAAAGAGGAAUACCCACGCUGGGCUGUUGAAGCACUCAGCACGGUCAAUGUUCAACUGGAAUAGAGGGUCUGGGACACCUAUUGCUGAAUGAAGAUGCUGUGAUCUUGUAGAAGUCUCCUCCCCAAUCUCGUCAAAAGGAGGUUGAUGGGGAAACAGUUUCUCCAGAGCUGCCAGCGCAGCAUGUGCUUUAGCUACUUUCUUAUUAGAGCCUGAACCAGUGAAUUUCUGGCCAUCAACUUCAACCUGGAAGAUCACAGAUAAUGGCCGUCUCAGGAAUUGAUUGCAGCAGCAAAAUUCCAAACCAAGAAGCUUGAAAAUACCAAGCAAAGUUUACACAUAGAGACUGUCACACAAACAAGGAUUGUGUGACUGUAGAAUUCUCUGCCACAGAAGGAGAUGGAGACAAGACCAUUAAAUAUCUUGAAGGCCAAAGGAGAUUGAUUCUUGAUUAGCAAAGGCAUCAGAAGUUAUCGGGGUAGGUGGGAAUGUGGAAUUUGGAACACAAGCAGAUCAAUCUUUGAUGAAGCAGCAGAAAACGGUUGGGCCUAAGACACUACUCUGAAGAACUCCUGUAAUAACAUCCUGGAGCUAAGACGAUAGUCCUCCAACAACCGAUUAGGCCAUUUUUCUUUUCUCUCAGAAGAUGUGGAGGCAUUUCUUGCUCUUCCUGCAAAGCUGGCGGAAGCACAGUCCUCAACAUUUUUAAGUGGAUAGAUUCUUGUUAAGCAUACAAAAGAAAGAUAGAUUAAUCGGGGUAGGCAGGAAUUCAGAUUUGAGAUUUAAUCAGAUCAGGCAUCAUCUUACUGAAUGGCAGAGCAAGCAUGAGUGUCUGAAUAGCCUACUCCUGCUCCUAAUUUGUAUGAGUCCUUCCCUCGCAUGUGAUGUCCUCAUCCACUGAAUGAAAUAAAAGCAAAGACAAAAUACACUGCAGAAACUCAGCAAGACACUUCUGACAGUACUUUCUGGACUAGUGAACUUUACCACCUAGAACCACAAGACCCAUGCGAGCCCUACAACCUCCAAAUUGCAAUCCAAGUGAGGUUGAAUUCAUGCAUCUUAAUAGCAUCAUAGAUGGAUGUAUAUUAUAUGUUAUGCAGGGAUUUAAAAAUUAGGAAUACUUGAAAUAAGAAUGGAAAAACUAAUCUCAGUUUCUUUCUCAGGCCUAAGUGAAGCCUGCAUCGGUCAAAGAGCCAGUGCUCAACAUCACUAAACUCAACAGAAAUUAGGGACGGUGGUCUGACCAGCAAACUGCACAACCCAUGAAUGAAUUAAGAAAGAAACAUUAACAUCAAAAACACCAAAUUACAAUUACAGAGUUCAGCUGAAGAAAAGUGCUGAUGCACAGAAGCCAGCAACUAGAAAGCCUCACACUACAGGUUCAAUAAUGAGGAUAAUAAACUAAAAACAAAGAAACAAGUUCACAUACCCAUCCUUUAAGUGGUGCCCAGGUGGGAACUCUUGAACAUAAAUCCCGUAGAACACGGAUGACAAUGACACAUGACUUCAGCCCAUUUGCCCUGGCCUAUAAAACCAUUGAGCAGAAAGUUAGUAUCUCAAUUAGUGACCUGAAAGUAAAAUCAGCAAAAAAGGGCAAAGUUUCAAAUCUGCAGUGCUACUUUGUCAAGGGUAAGAAAGUCUUUACAUUUAUAACAAAAGCUACAUAUCAAUCUAGUAUUUUCAAAGUGAGCAAAAUUACUCUUAACACAAAGCAGCAACAAUGCAAUAAUACACAAAAUAAAUUAACAUUAAAUCCCUGAAGCCCCCCUCCCCAACAUGAAGAACUGCCAGCUUACUAAGAUUACACUCAUUUACUUAAGUGCUUAUUAGCAGCUGCGCAGAGACAGAAGCUAAGUGUUGCACACAAAUUUACAAUUCCAAUAUCAAUUCAACACGCAAUUUAAAAACUGAACAGAAUCAAUAAUUUUAAUAAAAACAUUCUACUUUAGACAAUAAUGUAAGAACAAGAUCCAAACCUGGAACCAUUUGGCGUGUCGCAGGGACGCCAAGGCGGUUAGGCAUUUCUGCCUGUCCAAUACAUCCGCAGGCUCACUCAUCGUUACUGUUUCUAUUGAUGGAGUGGAAUAAGAAGACAGGCAGUUUGACCAAGGGGUUUCUGUCAUGCGGCGGGGAGCGGCAGCAUCCUAUUGGGCAAACAGGGCUCCUCACCAAAGUCAAGUUGUAGUGAGCACUCUCAAAUCUCUAAUGAAUCUACUUUGUCUUGUAACUAAACAGAGAGAACACUAGUCUAUACCUGAACACCAAAUGAAUAGACAGAGCCUGAAGGAGUGUACGCUAGUGUUUGCACUAUUGCGUAUGUGAUAUGUAUCAGUUUUAUUUGCUAAACUAUAUGAGCUGUGGCAUAAAUGCAUUGCACUGGUGGUCAUGUGGAGAACAGUGUUGUAUUGGUUAUAAAGAAAGAUAUUACCUCACAUUGCAAUGUGUUUAAUUAACUAGGCUAGGAAUCAAGAGAAAGGAAACUAUCAAGUAGGCUUAGGGCUCUGUCCGGGGGAAACCCCCUCUGCCCACGAGGGUCGACUGCCCAGGCCCCCAUGACAGAGAGCGUCCAGUUGGUCAAAGGUCCAGCGUCCCUAAAAGAAUUGACAAACUAGAAGGCUUGGUAGACGUGAUCAAAUAGUAAAUCCACAGGCAAUAUCAAAAAGAUCAAAAACACCAUUAAUAAUUUUAUAUACAGUGGGAAACUGUUAAACAGACUGAGUCUGCACAAAGCAGUUGUGCAUGCUUAAGCUGUUGCUUGUUCAGAUUAAGACCAAUACCUCAGGUUUAACUAGUAUGUGCACAGGCUUUCAGUAUCAAAUGAGAUAUAGCUCCAUUACUAAACUGCUCAGUCUCCCACUGCAUAUUCAAAACUUGGUGGCGUCUGCACUGCAGCAAAACUGAAUGGUCUGGCGGCCCCAUUACUGACCAGAAUUUCAAACUAAUUAGUUGAGACAUCUAUGGCAAACUGAUGAGCCCAAAAGCCAUCAAUAAAUUGACAACAUAUUACCCAGGCAAAUAGGAAUACGGUGCUAAUAGUUCUGGAGAUUUACCAAACAGAAAAUUGUUGAAAACUGGCCAGACCGACUAAAGCCUCAGACCAGCUUGGUAACUAUAGUGAACUGAGCCUCAAAAAUCAGGCAACUUGUGGAUAAUGCUCAAAAUAUGCCCUGAGUUAAGCUGUCUGUCAAGAAGCAGCUGAUUUCAAUACAUAAUAUAGAAGGGAAAUGAGUCAGUAGCAUAUAGCAUAUUUAAAUCGUUGGCUUAUGCAACCCUUGGCAAUUCUCUAGAAUUUGUAAGUAGAACAACCCAUUGCUGAAGUGGAAUUUAAGCUAUGAAACAGGUUUAUUAGAUGGUAAAGAUAAUUGUAGCAAAGGAAAAUAUAAUAGUCUGCAAAUAAACUUUCCGAAUGAGAGCUUCUAACUAAGCUUUCCUGUGGAUAUAUAGAUAUUACAGCAAGACCAAUAUCUUGACACAAGCUUUGUGUGUGGAAUCCUGAGCUACAAUCUUUAAUUGAAUUGCACGAUAGCAGGAUUACAAGAAUGCGUAAACUGUGAAGUAUGCAGUUUGGAUUAUAAACCACGUGCCUGUAAAACUGAAAGUUCAGUUACCAGAGACAUUAAAAGCUUUGCCUGCAUGUGAAACAAAUUUAUGCUCUGUGAUGGCCUCCUGAACGCAUUGCAAAGAAGUUUCAACCUUUUCCAUGCACAAAGUAUGACUGUUUCAAAAUCUCAGGUUAAAAUAAGGGCUUGAUCGCAAAGUAAGAGUUUAUUUAUAAAUAGCACUUUUAAAAGUACUCAUUCAAGGAGAGGCCUGUCAGGGGUUUUGGAGGAGUAAGCAAUUGACCUCUCAUGCCAAAUUGGUCAAAGUUCAGUGCUUUAGGCCAUUCCUCACAAGGAACUGCUGUUUAGUUUGCCAAAACCCUUUCACUUUGGAUGAGAGCAUCAAAUCUGUUGAAUCCAAGUCAAGAAGCUGAACGCCCAGAUUUUAAGUGACCCAGCUCCUGGAAUACUCUGGUAACGCAAUAACUACAUACUAAGCAGUAGUGUUUCCUCCAGUUUGCAAAAGGACUGGAAGAAUAGAAAAAAAAUGACUGGUCAUAUCUCAGACAUAAUAAAAAUAGAAGUUAGCUAUGAUUCACAGCGCAGUGAAUCUCCAUUAUUUGAAAAAGGAUCCAAGGUCUAAUGAUAAUUAUCAGCCAAGAGCCUGUGAGCAUUUUCAGCCUUCAACCUCAUUUACUUUUCAUUAAGUGCUGAAUCUUGGCCUUCGUGUCCAUUUCUGUCACCUAGAAAAGUCUCACAUAGUGAUCCAAGUUUCUGAAUAUAUCUAAGCAGCAGUCUCAUGGAUGAAAAAUGCUCACACUGUGAAGGGAAAAUGGGAUACCUCAACCGAGCGUGGUCACUGAUUUGAAACUCCACACAGUGUAAAGAUCACUUGACGUGUCACAAAACCAAUAGCUCAAAAUGGAUAAAAAUGUAUUUAAAUCAGACCAUGAAGAGCCAAACUUUAUCUAAAAAUCUGCCAGCUAUGCACCAGGUGGUCUUUUUCCAAAGGAAGCUAAGUAACAUUUGAAAAAGGCCUUGAAAAUGGUCAUUUUUGCUGCAAUGCAAACUUACUUGCAUAUAAACCAGUGGCUUUGAACAACUUGAACACAUGCAUGGUCAAGGACAAUUCUCAACUUAGCUUUAAUGCUUCUAGGGUAUUUGUUUAGAAGCCUGGAGUCAUUUUAUUACAGCUAGAUUUAAAGUAGCACGAACAUUUACCGUGUAUUGGACCACCAAAAGGCUACAAUUGCAAAGAUAACAUGUCAAGCAGUUCCAGGAUAUAAAGCUGCAGUAUACUACAGACCAUGGCUGCCAUAUAGAGCUAUAUGAAGAUAUACCAGUAACAGAAUACCAUUUUAAUGGGAUAAAUGUAAAGAUGAUCUCUAAUGACAAUAGCCUAAUGUCUAUGAAUCUUAAUACAAGAUAGGAUAUUUUCAGGAUGUAAAACAGAAGGAUUGGUAUCCUCUCCAAUCAAUGUGGCAGAACUAGGCCAUUCACCCCAAAAGAUUUAUCAAUGAAUAGUGAGGCAUUGCUAUUCAUUCAAGACUAUUCUACUGCAACAUCUUUUGCAAUGCAAUUUCAUGGAGCUAAAAGAAAAACUCACCAACAGUAAUUCCUCAUUUAGCUCACCUUUUAAAGUGUUCCUGCGCAAUGGGAAAUGAAAGUAUGCUAACUGAUAAUAAAAAGAAACCCAGUACAAUAACAUAAUAAGUUGAGUUGUGUUGCUGAUCUGGCUGCUUUUUGUGCUAACAUAACAAUCACUCCAAAGUGAAGAGUAGGAAAUGGUAGAUAGUCCGUGUCUCUCCCUCAACACCAACUGCAACACCAAUUCAGAGGUGGUGACAAAGAAACACCAAGUCUUAAGUCCCAUUGUCUUUACCAGAUCAUUCACAAUUGAGCCCCAGAAAGGCUGUAAGCCUGGCACGUACCUAGUAAACGUCCCAAACAGAAGGACAGGAACAGAAAGAUUCAGUCCCACCGGCAGAGUUCUGGAAACAGACUCUGUCUUGUCAGGAGAACCCAGAAAUAAUAACAGCAGGCCUUUGAGGCUUACCAACUGCACUAAACGAAGUACUAGAUCAUGGCUGGUAGGGUAAUUUGAAAGUCUUCAUCAAUAUGAAAGGCAGUCUAAAAUGAAACCCAUUUAAUGGAGUGUAUUAAAUGGGGGAUCACUGUAUGAUCCAGCUCCAUACUUAGCUCUGCACCAAAAGAAUUAAAAUCCCCUCCACCCUAAAUGUCUACUGGAAAUAUGUUCAUUAUAUCAAACUUUAUACUCCGUAACAAAUCUCAAGAUACUCAUGUAUUUAUUGGUUUUAAAUCCUGCCUCCGUGAAUCAAACUACGUUCCAAAGUUCUUCUAAAAGGACAGUAUUUCAUGUAGAGGUGCCAGUGCACAACUAACCUUCACCCAAAAAUAAACUGACAAUACUAGUGCUGUCAAAUUCAAUAUUUCUCUUUUAAAAAUAAAUCACACUGGGUAAAAUAAAUUAAGCAUCUCUUUUG
This is an RNA transcript of Rhincodon typus (whale shark), 7207 nucleotides long. It is a transcript of the gene named queuine tRNA-ribosyltransferase 1, with no coding region annotated. The record is from RefSeq and is a predicted model, not a curated record. The transcript is spliced from 14 exons. Lineage: Eukaryota; Metazoa; Chordata; Chondrichthyes; Orectolobiformes; Rhincodontidae.